AUGGUUUCUCUUACGAGUUUGUGCGGGUGCCGCAGCAGAAAAACACCCAUGAAGAUAAUCUUGAUAUUAGGAAAACAUUCCUGUAUACCUACGCAACUAGUGAUUUGUUUGAUGUUAACUUUCGUGGUUUGUUUGGCAUCGAACCUUGUGAGUGGCUGGAUCUUGAUGAGCAUGAUUAUAGGAUCUUUGGCAGCCAGUUCUCAGAGAAGGUCUGGUGUUAUUAAGGGGUGGUUGGGAGCUAUGAAAGGUUCUAUGGCUGCUUGUGCAGAGAGCCCCUCUACACCCAAGAAUCCCAUUGUGGAAUUGAUAGACAGCGAUGAUGAUGCGUUUGACAAGAUUGCUGGCAUGGGAAGAGUUACCAGGAGCGCUGCUGCUGCCAAGGGUUUAUCCCCACUUGCUGGAAUAGUGGCCCGUAGAGCUGGUGGUGCUAGGAAGGAUCCUGCUUUGGAUUCUGGCAAUGUCACAAGCACGAAGCGUGCACCAAGAGCUCCUAUAAAGUUUUGCUCCCCUGUGCAGCAGCUUCACCCUCAUAAAUUCCCUCACCUGGAGAUGGCUCGCAAGUUGUAUAAUCUGUUGCUUAGUGAUGAAGCAUGUGAGAAGUAUGCCGAGAAUACAUUCUCAAUGAUACCUCAGCCCGAUGAUAGUGUAACCAGCUUCACCGGGAAACACAUCUGGGAAGUUUUUGCACCUGGGCAAAUGAUGGAGGGUGAUGUAAUGGACUUCCUCAUUGAUGAUUGGAAGAAAGAUCCCGAUAGAAAUGUUAAUUUUGCGUCUGGAAAAAGGGUAUUGCUGAGUCCAUAUUUCAUCAGGUUGUGCUUGACUUUACAUUUUACGGUGACGAAAAUAAAGAGUUUAAUGUGA
This 861-nucleotide ribosomal RNA is filed under the name Triticum aestivum (bread wheat). RNAcentral's name for it is "partial small subunit ribosomal RNA". Lineage: Eukaryota; Viridiplantae; Streptophyta; Magnoliopsida; Poales; Poaceae. The record is from RNAcentral.